Molecule: transfer RNA, 73 nt
Filed under: Camelus bactrianus (Bactrian camel)
Lineage: Eukaryota; Metazoa; Chordata; Mammalia; Artiodactyla; Camelidae
Also listed under: 2 other names
Rfam family: tRNA
About the family: Transfer RNA (tRNA) molecules are approximately 80 nucleotides in length.
Source: Rfam by way of RNAcentral
GAGGGUACAGCUCAAGUGGUAGGGCGCAUGCUUAGCAUGCAUGACGUCCGAGGUUCAAACCCUGGUACCUCCU